CGCUCAGAUUGAACGCUGGCGGCAGGCUUAACACAUGCAAGUCGAGCGGUAACAGGGGAAGCUUGCUUCCCGCUGACGAGCGGCGGACGGGUGAGUAAUGCUUAGGAAUCUGCCCAGUAGUGGGGGAUAGCCCGGGGAAACCCGGAUUAAUACCGCAUACGUCCUACGGGAGAAAGCAGGGGAUCUUCGGACCUUGCGCUAUUGGAUGAGCCUAAGUCGGAUUAGCUAGUUGGUGGGGUAAAGGCCUACCAAGGCGACGAUCCGUAGCUGGUCUGAGAGGAUGAUCAGCCACAUCGGGACUGAGACACGGCCCGAACUCCUACGGGAGGCAGCAGUGGGGAAUAUUGGACAAUGGGGGCAACCCUGAUCCAGCCAUGCCGCGUGUGUGAAGAAGGCUUUCGGGUUGUAAAGCACUUUCAGUAGGGGAGGAAAACCUUAUGGUUAAUACCCAUGAGGCUUGACGUUACCUACAGAAGAAGCACCGGCUAACUCCGUGCCAGCAGCCGCGGUAAUACGGAGGGUGCAAGCGUUAAUCGGAAUUACUGGGCGUAAAGCGCGCGUAGGUGGUUUGGUAAGCGAGAUGUGAAAGCCCCGGGCUUAACCUGGGAACGGCAUUUCGAACUGUCAGACUAGAGUGUGGUAGAGGGUAGUGGAAUUUCCUGUGUAGCGGUGAAAUGCGUAGAUAUAGGAAGGAACACCAGUGGCGAAGGCGGCUACCUGGACCAACACUGACACUGAGGUGCGAAAGCGUGGGGAGCAAACAGGAUUAGAUACCCUGGUAGUCCACGCCGUAAACGAUGUCAACUAGCCGUUGGGACUCUUGAAGUCUUAGUGGCGCAGCUAACGCACUAAGUUGACCGCCUGGGGAGUACGGCCGCAAGGUUAAAACUCAAAUGAAUUGACGGGGGCCCGCACAAGCGGUGGAGCAUGUGGUUUAAUUCGACGCAACGCGAAGAACCUUACCUGGCCUUGACAUCCAGAGAACUUUCCAGAGAUGGAUUGGUGCCUUCGGGAACUCUGAGACAGGUGCUGCAUGGCCGUCGUCAGCUCGUGUCGUGAGAUGUUGGGUUAAGUCCCGUAACGAGCGCAACCCCUAUCCCUGGUUGCUAGCAGGUAAUGCUGAGAACUCCAGGGAGACUGCCGGUGACAAACCGGAGGAAGGUGGGGAUGACGUCAGGUCAUCAUGGCCCUUACGGCCAGGGCUACACACGUGCUACAAUGGCGCGUACAGAGGGCUGCCAACUCGCGAGAGUGAGCCAAUCCCUUAAAACGCGUCGUAGUCCGGAUCGGAGUCUGCAACUCGACUCCGUGAAGUCGGAAUCGCUAGUAAUCGCGAAUCAGAAUGUCGCGGUGAAUACGUUCCCGGGCCUUGUACACACCGCCCGUCACACCAUGGGGAGUGGAUUGCACCAGAAGUAGUUAGUCUAACCUUCGGGAGGACGAUUACCACGGUGUGGUUCAUGACUGGGGUGAGUCUAAAAA
Molecule: ribosomal RNA, 1482 nt
Filed under: Marinobacter nauticus
Lineage: Bacteria; Pseudomonadati; Pseudomonadota; Gammaproteobacteria; Pseudomonadales; Marinobacteraceae
Description: bacterial SSU rRNA
Rfam family: Bacterial small subunit ribosomal RNA
Source: RNAcentral